Molecule: ribosomal RNA, 35 nt
Filed under: uncultured Rickettsia sp.
Lineage: Bacteria; Pseudomonadati; Pseudomonadota; Alphaproteobacteria; Rickettsiales; Rickettsiaceae
Description: partial 23S ribosomal RNA
Source: RNAcentral
AUACUAAUAGCUCGAUUGAUUUACUUUGCUGUGAG